AGCCUUUGGUGGAGCGGCGUACAGCUCAGUAAUACAGUUUUAAUUUAAUCGUAGUGCUAUAUGGAUAACCAUGGUAAGCUAUGGCUAAUACAAGCAAAGGCUAUCAGUGUGGCGAGGCAUUGGUAGUUGACAGUCUUUGACGACUACGACUAAGAAUCUGGCCUAUUAGCAAAGAUGGUAGGGUAACGGCCUACCAUGGCUAUGAUGGGUAACGGAGAAUCAGUGUUCGAUUCCGGAGAGGGAGCUUUAGAAACAGCUCCCACGCCUAAGGGUGGCAGCAGGCGCGAAACUACCCAAUUCCGAAUAGGAGAGGUAGUGAAGAGACAUGAGGCUCGGCCUAGAGAUUGCACAAUAAAUUAGUGUAAGAUCGACUGGAGGGCAAGCCUGGUGCCAGCAUCCGCGGUAA
This 406-nucleotide ribosomal RNA is filed under the name Microsporidium sp. group H. RNAcentral's name for it is "SSU rRNA". It matches the Rfam family "Microsporidia small subunit ribosomal RNA", at positions 64 to 408 of the family's 1311-position model. Lineage: Eukaryota; Fungi; Microsporidia. The record is from RNAcentral.